This 253-nucleotide ribosomal RNA is filed under the name uncultured bacterium. RNAcentral's name for it is "partial 16S ribosomal RNA". It matches the Rfam family "Bacterial small subunit ribosomal RNA", at positions 524 to 776 of the family's 1533-position model. The record is from RNAcentral.
AACGUAGGAGGCAAGCGUUAUCCGGAGUUACUGGGCGUAAAGGGCUCGUAGGCGGCCAACUAAGUCGGAUGUGAAAUCCCCAGGCUUAACCUGGGAACUGCAUCCGAUACUGGAUGGCUUGAAUCCGGGAGAGGGAUGCAGAAUUCCAGGUGUAGCGGUGAAAUGCGUAGAUAUCUGGAGGAAUACCGGUGGCGAAGGCGGCAUCCUGGACCGGCAUUGACGCUGAUGAGCGAAAGCUAGGGGAGCAAACAGG